UACAGAGGGUGCAAGCGUUGUUCGGAAUUAUUGGGCGUAAAGCGCGUGUAGGCGGCUUUGCAAGUCGGGUGUGAAAGCCCAGAGCUCAACUCUGGAACUGCCCUUGAAACUGUAUGGCUUGAGUAUGAGAGAGGUGAGUGGAAUUCCCAGUGUAGAGGUGAAAUUCGUAGAUAUUGGGAAGAACACCGGUGGCGAAGGCGGCUCACUGGCUCAUUACUGACGCUCAGGCGCGACAGCGUGGGGAUCAAACAGG
Molecule: ribosomal RNA, 253 nt
Filed under: uncultured bacterium
Lineage: Bacteria
Description: partial 16S ribosomal RNA
Rfam family: Bacterial small subunit ribosomal RNA
Source: RNAcentral